Molecule: long non-coding RNA, 359 nt
Filed under: Populus tremula
Lineage: Eukaryota; Viridiplantae; Streptophyta; Magnoliopsida; Malpighiales; Salicaceae
Description: long non-coding RNA (PTRE_LNC001912)
Source: RNAcentral
UUACUUUAGGUUUUCAUCCGGGCACGGAGCAAUUGGGAUGUAUGCCAGCACAGACGGGCCUACCUGUCCCGUUGGAAUUUAGCUUUUUGCUAUGCUUAUAGGUAAACUAUUGAAACUUUGGAUUCCCUGAAAUAUUUUCUCUUGCUUGCUUUAUAUACAUACAAAAUGUGAUGUGUGUUCUUAAUGGGAUUUGGUUGGUUUUGCCUUGGCCUUUUCUGCUGUAUAAAUUUACAGGAAGAUUGAGAAGUGUAACCAAACAAAAACUCACAUCAAAGAUCAUGUAGAGAGAUUGAGCCAUCGCCACCACUAGCAGUGCCACUAGCCUACCUUUACCACAUCUUGCUACCGUCAUCGCCGUC